UCUCCGUUGGUGAACCAGCGGAGGGAUCAUUACCGAGUUUACAACUCCCAAACCCCUGUGAACAUACCAAUUGUUGCCUCGGUGGGCUGGCCCUUGCAAACAGGGCCCCGUCCCUCCCUCUCGGGGGGGUUGGAGCGAGCCUGCCGGUGGACUUAUAAACCUAUUUUAAUUAGUAUCUCUCUGAGUACAAAACAAAAUGAAUCAAAACUUUCAACAACGGAUCUCUUGGUUCUGGCAUCGAUGAAGAACGCAGC
Molecule: unclassified non-coding RNA, 254 nt
Filed under: uncultured fungus
Lineage: Eukaryota; Fungi
Description: sequence contains ITS1, 5.8S rRNA gene
Rfam family: 5.8S ribosomal RNA (bases 206-254)
Source: RNAcentral